AUUGAACGCUGGCGGCAGGCCUAACACAUGCAAGUCGAACGGUAGCACAGAGAGCUCGCUCUCGGGUGACGAGUGGCGGACGGGUGAGUAAUGUCUGGGAAACUGCCUGAUGGAGGGGGAUAACUACUGGAAACGGUAGCUAAUACCGCAUAACGUCGCAAGACCAAAGAGGGGGACCUUCGGGCCUCUUGCCAUCAGAUGUGCCCAGAUGGGAUUAGCUAGUAGGUGGGGUAACGGCUCACCUAGGCGACGGUCCCUAGCUGGUCUGAGAGGAUGACCAGCCACACUGGAACUGAGACACGGUCCAGACUCCGACGGGAGGCAGCAGUGGGGAAUAUUGCACAAUGGGCGCAAGCCUGAUGCAGCCAUGCCGCGUGUAUGAAGAAGGCCUUCGGGUUGUAAAGUACUUUCAGCGGGGAGGAAGGCGGUGAGGUUAAUAACCUCAUCGAUUGACGUUACCCGCAGAAGAAGCACCGGCUAACUCUGUGCCAGCAGCCGCGGUAA
Molecule: ribosomal RNA, 504 nt
Filed under: uncultured bacterium
Lineage: Bacteria
Description: partial 16S ribosomal RNA
Rfam family: Bacterial small subunit ribosomal RNA
Source: RNAcentral